Salvia miltiorrhiza (redroot sage) is the source of this 622-nucleotide long non-coding RNA. RefSeq lists it as uncharacterized. The record is from RefSeq and is a predicted model, not a curated record. Lineage: Eukaryota; Viridiplantae; Streptophyta; Magnoliopsida; Lamiales; Lamiaceae. The transcript has 3 exons.
ACGAGACGAAACGAGAUAUUUAACGACUAAGUGGGAUAAUAUACUAUCUAACCUACCCUACCCUAACCACUCCACCAACCACCCAACCCCACUCACUCACACAUAUUAUACGGCUGUAUCAGCCAAACACUCCACUCACACUUUAAUCUCACACAUACAACACCUAAAACACACACUAGUUCACGCCAUUUUCAUUUUAGUUUGAGCUCAAGCUUUUGACCUCCGAUUUGAGCACCGAGACGAGCGCCGAUCAUCUUUUCGAUCACGUAUCUAAGUAGGUCCUUUUGGGAAGUAACGACUUGAGGGAGAGAGUGACGUUACUCAUUGAUACAGAGACACAACGAGGUUGAGCUGAUGUGAUGAUGGUGCUGCAAUGAGCGGAGUCUCCAGGGUUGUUAAUAAAUAGUUAACCUGUCUAGAAUAUGUCUUCAUACAUAUGUCUAGCUACUUUCCGCUGCAAGAUGUUGUUGAUGUUAUAGUAUGUUAUGUCAUACUUUGAGUCUUAAGAGAAUGGUUGCAUAUGAUGUAUAACUCGAUUAAUGAUAUUAAUUAACUUUUAUGCAGUCUUUCAUAGACUGUUUUCAAUUGAGUAUUAAUGAAUAAAAAUGACGAGUUUUAUUAA